Molecule: ribosomal RNA, 284 nt
Filed under: uncultured bacterium
Lineage: Bacteria
Description: partial 16S ribosomal RNA
Rfam family: Bacterial small subunit ribosomal RNA
Source: RNAcentral
UGGGGAAUAUUGCACAAUGGGCGCAAGCCUGAUGCAGCCAUGCCGCGUGUGUGAAGAAGGCCUUCGGGUUGUAAAGCACUUUCAGCGAGGAGGAAGGCAGUCGUGUUAAUAGCACGGUUGAUUGACGUUACUCGCAGAAGAAGCACCGGCUAACUCCGUGCCAGCAGCCGCGGUAAUACGGAGGGUGCAAGCGUUAAUCGGAAUUACUGGGCGUAAAGCGCACGCAGGCGGUUUGUUAAGUCAGAUGUGAAAUCCCCGCGCUUAACGUGGAACUGCAUUUGAAA